AUGAAUCCCCAGCCUGCCAAGAACACAAGCUUGCCUUUCUCAUCAAUCAAUUUGACAAGGCCAGGCACAGAGCAGAAGCUUCUGGCAGCCCGCCCCGCCCUUCACCCCCCACUGCCCCUUCCCCUCUCUUCCGAUCUGUUUCGGAAAAGUCCUGCACAAAUGUACCAAAACGGAACAAACAACUUGAAGGAGAACCAAGACGAUCCUAAAAACGAUGGAAUAUUUUUUUAUCUAGUGAAGAAGAUGAAUCACCUCUCUUGGAAUUUACUACACCUGGCUCUACCUCAAACGUGCAUAGUCCCGGUUUCCACAGAAUGAGAAGCCCCAUCACAACCUCCACUCUGGGAAGACCCAGGACAACUCCUGCUGCGAGGCCUGGCUCUUCAUCGAGCAUGAGCAGCUCCCGUGGCUUGGGAGAGAGGUCGUCGUUACACGACUGGUUACGCUUCUCAGGGAAGUGGGGGAAACACAGAAACUGCACGUGCACUUGCUGAAUACCCUGCUGAGUCAAAAAUCUGCUUUACCACUGGUGGAACCACCGGAGGGAGCUGUGUGAGCACAGCUGAUGAUGUCCUGGCCAUGAAUGAGAAGCUGUGUGACUCAGACAUGUUUUACAGAGAAAACCUGCCUGUCAUGUAUAAACUUCACCUCCCGUGUCCUGGAUCUUUAUUUACACCUUCGAGAGCAAUGCUGCAAGUCUAUUCUAUGUUCUGUUUGACAUCAUUUGUUUUAAAAGAGCUGAUUUAGAGAUUGUUUUGUGAUUAUGUGUUUUUUGCCAGGAAUUAGCCUCAUCCCAACAGCUUGUUUUGCUUUUGUACUGUGUAUUAGCAUAGCAACGAUGCUAACAACUUCAUUAGCAUAUGAAAAGAUCGCUAAAAUGACAGUUUAUUAGUAACAGCUAAGGUCAACUCUUAUGCAUGUUUUCUAGCACUAGCAGUUUUGUUUGGUGCAUUUAUUUCACAUAAAAAGCUGGUGCAAAUUUCAUUUUCUGUUCAUUUUGUUUCACUCAAUCCUUUCACUGAGCUUUUCAAGCAACAAUUGUAAAGAAUUCUAAGCUGUCAAGAAGACCGUAAUAAAGAGAAAGACGCUCGGUUUCCGGGCUCAUUAAAAUUAA
Long non-coding RNA from Xiphophorus hellerii (green swordtail), 1114 nucleotides. RefSeq lists it as uncharacterized. NCBI's taxonomy places the organism in Eukaryota, Metazoa, Chordata, Actinopteri, Cyprinodontiformes, Poeciliidae. The transcript is spliced from 2 exons. The record is from RefSeq and is a predicted model, not a curated record.